GGAGGAAAGUAGGGGAUCGUAAGACCUUGCGCUUUUGGAGCGGCCGAUGUCUGAUUAGCUAGUUGGUGAGGUAAAGGCUUACCAAGGCUUCGAUCAGUAGCUGGUCUGAGAGGACGACCAGCCACACUGGGACUGAGACACGGCCCAGACUCCUACGGGAGGCAGCAGUGGGGAAUUUUGGACAAUGGGGGCAACCCUGAUCCAGCCAUGCCGCGUGAGUGAAGAAGGCCUUCGGGUUGUAAAGCUCUUUCAGCCGGAACGAAACGGUCACGGUUAAUAACCGCGAUCACUGACGGUACCGGAAGAAGAAGCACCGGCUAACUACGUGCCAGCAGCCGCGGUAAUACGUAGGGUGCGAGCGUUAAUCGGAAUUACUGGGCGUAAAGCGUGCGCAGGCGGUUUUGUAAGUCAGAUGUGAAAUCCCCGGGCUUAACCUGGGAACUGCGUUUGAAACUACAAAGCUAG
This 465-nucleotide ribosomal RNA is filed under the name uncultured bacterium. RNAcentral describes it as "bacterial SSU rRNA". It matches the Rfam family "Bacterial small subunit ribosomal RNA", at positions 198 to 644 of the family's 1533-position model. The record is from RNAcentral.